AUCGCUUCUCGGCCUUUUGGCUAAGAUCAAGUGUAGUAUCUUUCUUAUCAGUUUAAUAUCUGAUACGUCCCCUACCCGGGGACCAUAUAUUAAAUAGAUUUUUGGAACAGGGAGAUGGAAUAGGGGCUUGCUCCGUCCACUCCACGCAUCGACCUGGUAUUGCAGUAUCUCCAGGAACGGUGCACUCCCU
Molecule: small nuclear RNA, 190 nt
Filed under: Echeneis naucrates (live sharksucker)
Lineage: Eukaryota; Metazoa; Chordata; Actinopteri; Carangiformes; Echeneidae
Description: U2 spliceosomal RNA (ENSENLG00000000443.1)
Rfam family: U2 spliceosomal RNA
About the family: U2 is a small nuclear RNA (snRNA) component of the spliceosome (involved in pre-mRNA splicing).
Source: Rfam by way of RNAcentral